RNAcentral lists this transfer RNA (92 nucleotides) under Thermoprotei archaeon. Its description in RNAcentral is "tRNA-Val". It matches the Rfam family "tRNA". From Rfam's summary of the family: Transfer RNA (tRNA) molecules are approximately 80 nucleotides in length. RNAcentral also lists the same sequence under 1 other name. The record is from RNAcentral. Lineage: Archaea; Thermoproteati; Thermoproteota; Thermoprotei.
GGGCCCGUCGUCUAGUGGUUAGGAUAGCGUUCCAGCGCCCUAAGGCCGCCCUUACGAGGCGGAGGUCCGGGGUUCGAACCCCCGCGGGCCCA